ACUUCUUCUGCCACUCCAACAAACGAGACUGGCCGUUUGGCUUUGCUCAAAUUCAAAGAAUCCAUUACUAAUGCCCCAGCUGCUGUCUUGAGCUUAUGAAAUUAUUCUAUUCAGUUCUGCAAUUGGUAUGCAAUUACAUGCGGCCGCCACCAUCAAAGAGUCACGACCUUGGCACUACAGGGGCAUAAAUUGCGUGGAACCAUUACACCUUUCAUUGGAAACCUCACCUUUCUUACAGCCAUCAACCUCCAAGACAACAGCUUUUAUGGUGAAAUUCCAAAGGAAGUUGGUCAUUUGUUUCGACUGUGACAUUUCAAUCUUCCUAAUAACACGCUGGGAGGAGAAAUUCCAGCCAGCUUGACCAACUGCUCUGAACUCAAGAUUUUGGCAUGGGUGGUAAGGCAUCAACUCAUGAGGGGGAUGUAUAUAGCUAUAUAUGGAGUUCUCAUGCUGGAAAUGUUUACACGAAGGAUGCCCACUGAUGAUAUGUUUAAAGAUGGUUUGAAUCUCCAUAAUUUUGUUAAGAUGACAUUACCAAAAAGACUGGCUCAAGCUUUUGACCCAAUGUUUUUGCCAAGAGAAGUUGAAGAAUUGGUAAUGAUGGCAAUAGAAAAAGAUGACAAUGAUAAUGAAAUUGAAGUAGAAGAAGCUAAUAAUAUUGAGGAUUCAAGGUAUAUUGAUGUUGACAUGCAAAAGUGCUCACUCUCAAUUCUUAACAUUGGAAUCUUAUGUUCAUUGGAAUCCCCAAAAGAGAGAAUGAGUAUGGAGGAAGUCAUUAGGGAAUUGCAAUUGAUAAAAAGUGCUUUCAUUAGUUUGGGGAUUCAUAGAGGCAGACCAAGUAGAGAUCAAGUAAGGGGUAUUUAGUUUUGAUUAUAAGACUACGUUAAGUAGUAUGUCCUAUUCAUUUACUUUGAUAUCAUUCAGUCCCCAAAUACUUCUAUUAAAAAUGCAUGGAGAUUUUAUGUUGACCUUUUUAUUAAUUUUGAGGAGAUUAUCAUAGCUGAUUGUAAAAUUGGAUUUUCAUUUCUCAUUCAUUAUCAAAAUACUAAACAGAA
This is an RNA transcript of Quercus robur (English oak), 1055 nucleotides long. It is a transcript of the gene named receptor kinase-like protein Xa21, with no coding region annotated. NCBI's taxonomy places the organism in Eukaryota, Viridiplantae, Streptophyta, Magnoliopsida, Fagales, Fagaceae. The transcript is spliced from 2 exons. The record is from RefSeq and is a predicted model, not a curated record.